This 316-nucleotide ribosomal RNA is filed under the name uncultured eukaryote. Its description in RNAcentral is "partial 18S ribosomal RNA". It matches the Rfam family "Eukaryotic small subunit ribosomal RNA", at positions 1470 to 1796 of the family's 1831-position model. The record is from RNAcentral.
CCCUUAGAUGUUCUGGGCUGCACACGCGCUACACUGAAGGGAUCAGCGUGUUCUUUUCCUGGUCCGAAAGGAUCGGGUAACCCGCUGAACCCCCUUCGUGGUAGGGAUCGGAGCUUGCAAUUAUUCUCCGUGAACCAGGAAUUCCCAGUAAGCGCAAGUCAUAAGCUUGCGUUGAUUACGUCCCUGCCCUUUGUACACACCGCCCGUCGCACCUACCGAUUGAAUGGUCCGGUGAAGCCUCCGGAUUGGCGCGCACCUCGGUGCCGCCGAGAAGUUGGCUAAACCUUACCAUUUAGAGGAAGGUGAAGUCGUAACA